This 498-nucleotide ribosomal RNA is filed under the name uncultured bacterium. Its description in RNAcentral is "partial 16S ribosomal RNA". It matches the Rfam family "Bacterial small subunit ribosomal RNA", at positions 28 to 523 of the family's 1533-position model. The record is from RNAcentral.
GAUGAACGCUAGCUACAGGCUUAACACAUGCAAGUCGAGGGGUAGCAGGGUAGCAAUACCGCUGACGACCGGCGCACGGGUGAGUAACACGUAUCAAACCUUCCCAUAACUCGGGGAUAGCCUUUCGAAAGAAAGAUUAAUACCCGAUAGUACUUUUUCAAGGCAUCUUGAAACAGUUAAAGAUUUAUUGGUUAUGGAUGGGGAUGCGUUCCAUUAGAUAGUUGGUGAGGUAAGGGCUCACCAAGUCUUCGAUGGAUAGGGGUUCUGAGAGGAAGGUCCCCCACAUUGGUACUGAGACACGGACCAAACUCCUACGGGAGGCAGCAGUGAGGAAUAUUGGUCAAUGGGCGAGAGCCUGAACCAGCCAAGUAGCGUGAAGGAUGAAGGUCCUAUGGAUUGUAAACUUCUUUUAUAGUAGAAUAAAGUGAGCCACGUGUGGUUUUUUGUAUGUAUACUAUGAAUAAGGAUCGGCUAACUCCGUGCCAGCCGCCGCCGUAA